CCUACGGGCGGCAGCAGUGGGGGAUAUUGCACAAUGGGGGAAACCCUGAUGCAGCGACGCCGCGUGAGUGAAGAAGUAUUUCGGUAUGUAAAGCUCUAUCAGCAGGGAAGAAAAUGACAGUACCUGACCAAGAAGCCCCUGCUAAUUACGUGCCAGCAGCCGCGGUAAUACGUAGUGGGCAAGCGUUAUCCGGAUUUACUGGGUGUAAAGGGAGCGUAGACGGUUAUGUAAGUCUGGAGUGAAAGCCCGGGGCCCAACCCCGGGACUGCUUUGGAAACUGUGUAACUGGAGUGCAGGAGGGGCAGGCGGAAUUCCUGGUGUAGCGGUGAAAUGCGUAGAUAUCAGGAGGAACACCGGCGGCGAAGGCGGCCUGCUGGACUGAAACUGACGUUGAGGCUCGAAAGCGUGGGGAGCAAACAGGAUUAGAUACCCCGGUAGUC
Molecule: ribosomal RNA, 440 nt
Filed under: uncultured bacterium
Lineage: Bacteria
Description: partial 16S ribosomal RNA
Rfam family: Bacterial small subunit ribosomal RNA
Source: RNAcentral